CGGGCAGGGCUUCCCGGACUGUGGACCUGAGGUCAUUAGACCACGUGCUCCCUCCGUGAACAGGGGUACAAGGGCAAAGGCUGGAAGGCCUUUAGAGACACCUCCGUACCCCCUUAUUUAACAAAUGGGGAAACUGAAGCACACAAUGGCGAGUUGAUGUGCCCUCUCAGUGACCCCCUUACCUUUGCUAACUCAGCUCGGACUCUGGUCUCAGGAUUCUCCCUCCAGAUGCCGGCUCAGCUAUGAAACGGCCCUGAGACCCUGGCGGAGAAGCAGGAACUACAAUUCCCAGAAUCCCUUUCCCCGUGUGGUCCAGGGUUGAAGUUUGCCAGUGAAGGCGCUCUGCGGGAUGUGAAGGUGGAAGAGAUAUCAAGGCAUAUUCUUUGGAAGUAGAUGCAGCCAGACUCUGAGUGCAUGUUGCUGCCACAGCAUGGCUUGAUGAGGGUAUAAGUUGGUGCCUGGGAUCCGAACCCACGAACCUGGGGUGCUGAAGCAGAGUGCACGAAACUUCAGCCACUCAGCCACGGGGCCAGCCGUACAAACAAUCUUUGAAUGGCCAGAGGCCUUCUCUCCACCAAGAGUGAGGUGGUAAGGGCAAGAAGGGAUCAGGAAGAAUCAAAGUCCAGGGAGCGGAGGCAUUCCCGACCUUGACCGUCCCCGUGGCACACAGGAACAGAGAGGUCCACCUUGGCUUCCAGCCCUCCCUGGCAAAGGACAUCCUGGCCCACAGGUGUGCUCUGCCAGCCUCUGGUGUCACCAGCUCUCAUCCUGGUCGGAGCCUGAUGCCACCCCACACUUGGCUGCCCAGCCCCUCACUGUGUGGUGCUCAAGGCUGAGUGGCAUCCUGCUGCUGUCACGUGGCUGCCCAGCGAGAUUUCCCAUGGACUGCGGUGUGCUGGGUGGGCCGGCCCGACACUCCGUCCAGCUCGCCUGUUGGAUUGCUCAUGACAAACGGACAUGUUUUUGUGACUUUCAUAAACUGGAGCUGACUUCCUCGAGUCCAGUCAGCUCUGGGACCCCGGAAACAGAUGUUCUGGCCCUGGGAGGCUGGGGCCGAGAUAUGGAUCAUGCCCGUGAGGUCACCAAGAUAAAUGCCACCUCGUAAACUCUCUUGAUCACAAUCUUAACAGUUUCCAUUUGUCACCCAGGCUAGAAUGGGUCCGUCUCUGGUUGAACUCCUCAGGCCAGCAGAUAGAGCACUGCGGCCAGCGAGUCCCCAGGGUCCUUGUGGAGACCAAGAUGGGUCCAGGAUAAAGUUCUCACUGAAAAAGAGGGAAAUUAAGUGGCCACCUGCCUUUUUU
This 1301-nucleotide long non-coding RNA is filed under the name Equus asinus (donkey). RNAcentral describes it as "lncRNA (ENSEASG00005037355.1)". Lineage: Eukaryota; Metazoa; Chordata; Mammalia; Perissodactyla; Equidae. The record is from RNAcentral.